Molecule: non-coding RNA, 108 nt
Organism: Ictidomys tridecemlineatus (thirteen-lined ground squirrel)
Lineage: Eukaryota; Metazoa; Chordata; Mammalia; Rodentia; Sciuridae
Source: Rfam
GUGCUCACUUUGGCAACACUAUAUACUAAAAUUGGAACGAUACAGAGAAGAUUAACAUGGCCCCUGCACAAAUAUAACAUGCAAAUUUGUGAAGUGUUCCAUAUUUUU